GACGAACGCUGGCGGCGUGCUUAACACAUGCAAGUCGAACGAAGUGGCGAACGGGUGAGUAAUACGGGGGUAACCUGCCCUCCUUUUUGGGAUAAGCCUUGGAAACGGGGUCUAAUACCUAAUAAAGGGGGAUGGGCUCGGGGCCUAUCAGCUUGUUGGUGGGGUGAUGGCGUACCAAGGCGGUGACGGGUAGCCGGCCUGACAGGGUGAACUGCGAAAUUGGGAGUGGGAUACACCCCAGACUGCUACGGGAGGCAGCAGUCGGCGGUAAUGCACAAAGGGCUAAAGCCUGAAGCAGCGACGACGGGUGGGGGAUGAAGGAUUUCGGGUUGUAAACCUCUUUCGCGAUCGAAAGGGUAGGUGGAGAAGAAGCGCCGGCUAACUACGUGCCAGCAGCCGCGGUAAUUC
This 408-nucleotide ribosomal RNA is filed under the name uncultured bacterium. Its description in RNAcentral is "partial 16S ribosomal RNA". It matches the Rfam family "Bacterial small subunit ribosomal RNA", at positions 28 to 526 of the family's 1533-position model. The record is from RNAcentral.